RNAcentral lists this ribosomal RNA (449 nucleotides) under uncultured bacterium. RNAcentral describes it as "partial 16S ribosomal RNA". It matches the Rfam family "Bacterial small subunit ribosomal RNA", at positions 29 to 523 of the family's 1533-position model. The record is from RNAcentral.
AAUGAACGCUGGCGGCAGGCCUAACACAUGCAAGUCGAACGGAUCCUUCGGGAUUAGUGGCGGACGGGUGAGUAACGCGUGGGAACAUACCCAAAGGUACGGAAUAGCCUCGGGAAACUGGGAGUAAUACCGUAUGUGCUCGAAAGAGGAAAGAUUUAUCGCCUUUGGAUUGGCCCGCGUUGGAUUAGGUAGUUGGUGGGGUAAUGGCCUAACAAGCGGACGAUGCAUAGCUGGUUUGAGAGGAUGAUAAGCCGCACUGGGACUGAGACACGGCCCAGACUCCUACGGGAGGCAGCAGUGGGGAAUCUUAGACAAUGGGGGAAACCCUGAUCUAGCCAUGCCGCGUGAUCGAUGAAGGCCUUAGGGUUGUAAAGAUCUUUCAGGUGGGAAGAUAAUGACUGCACCACCAGAAGAAGCCCCGGCUAACUCCGUGCCAGCAGCCGCUGUAA